Molecule: long non-coding RNA, 391 nt
Filed under: Mustela putorius furo (domestic ferret)
Lineage: Eukaryota; Metazoa; Chordata; Mammalia; Carnivora; Mustelidae
Description: lncRNA (ENSMPUG00000026478.1)
Source: RNAcentral
UUUACCCUGCCAUCCUCUAUCCACCCCUUCGAGCAGCUCUUCCAUAAGCCACACAGUAAAGAACAACACGGUUCCGCCAACACUCGGGGAUCUCCUUUGGUGUAGCUUGAUACAGACUUCUGUAGCCUCCACCCAUUCAUUCAACAGAUUUAUUGUGCACUGAAUUGAAGCGGGCACAGAAAUAAGUUUCCAAGGGGAAGAGUACUGCACAACCAAUGUCAGAGCAAGGGAGUUUUCUUCAAGUCCAAGAGCUUUAAAACCAAGCUCCACUUCAGAGUGGAUUUUACCACUGGGGUCUGUAAUGGAAAUGCUGACAUAAUCUUAAUUAUGAGAGAGAAUUUCUCUCGGAUGGAAAUGCGCUGACCCAGAAGACUCCAUUCGCAAGUCCUCC